This 1273-nucleotide ribosomal RNA is filed under the name Escherichia coli. RNAcentral describes it as "partial 23S ribosomal RNA". It matches the Rfam family "Bacterial large subunit ribosomal RNA", at positions 1 to 1305 of the family's 2925-position model. Lineage: Bacteria; Pseudomonadati; Pseudomonadota; Gammaproteobacteria; Enterobacterales; Enterobacteriaceae. The record is from RNAcentral.
GGGUUGUGAGGUUAAGCGACUAAGCGUACACGGUGGAUGCCCUGGCAGUCAGAGGCGAUGAAGGACGUGCUAAUCUGCGAUAAGCGUCGGUAAGGUGAUAUGAACCGUUAUAACCGGCGAUUUCCGAAUGGGGAAACCCAGUGUGAUUCGUCACACUAUCAUUAACUGAAUCCAUAGGUUAAUGAGGCGAACCGGGGGAACUGAAACAUCUAAGUACCCCGAGGAAAAGAAAUCAACCGAGAUUCCCCCAGUAGCGGCGAGCGAACGGGGAGGAGCCCAGAGCCUGAAUCAGUGUGUGUGUUAGUGGAAGCGUCUGGAAAGGCGCGCGAUACAGGGUGACAGCCCCGUACACAAAAAUGCACAUGCUGUGAGCUCGAUGAGUAGGGCGGGACACGUGGUAUCCUGUCUGAAUAUGGGGGGACCAUCCUCCAAGGCUAAAUACUCCUGACUGACCGAUAGUGAACCAGUACCGUGAGGGAAAGGCGAAAAGAACCCCGGCGAGGGGAGUGAAAAAGAACCUGAAACCGUGUACGUACAAGCAGUGGGAGCCUCUUUAUGGGGUGACUGCGUACCUUUUGUAUAAUGGGUCAGCGACUUAUAUUCUGUAGCAAGGUUAACCGAAUAGGGGAGCCGAAGGGAAACCGAGUCUUAACUGGGCGUUAAGUUGCAGGGUAUAGACCCGAAACCCGGUGAUCUAGCCAUGGGCAGGUUGAAGGUUGGGUAACACUAACUGGAGGACCGAACCGACUAAUGUUGAAAAAUUAGCGGAUGACUUGUGGCUGGGGGUGAAAGGCCAAUCAAACCGGGAGAUAGCUGGUUCUCCCCGAAAGCUAUUUAGGUAGCGCCUCGUGAAUUCAUCUCCGGGGGUAGAGCACUGUUUCGGCAAGGGGGUCAUCCCGACUUACCAACCCGAUGCAAACUGCGAAUACCGGAGAAUGUUAUCACGGGAGACACACGGCGGGUGCUAACGUCCGUCGUGAAGAGGGAAACAACCCAGACCGCCAGCUAAGGUCCCAAAGUCAUGGUUAAGUGGGAAACGAUGUGGGAAGGCCCAGACAGCCAGGAUGUUGGCUUAGAAGCAGCCAUCAUUUAAAGAAAGCGUAAUAGCUCACUGGUCGAGUCGGCCUGCGCGGAAGAUGUAACGGGGCUAAACCAUGCACCGAAGCUGCGGCAGCGACGCUUAUGCGUUGUUGGGUAGGGGAGCGUUCUGUAAGCCUGCGAAGGUGUGCUGUGAGGCAUGCUGGAGGUAUCAGAAGUGCGAAUGCUGACAUAA